AUCAAAUUAACUAAUCUUUUUUAUGGAUGCUCAACAAGAGAGAGUUGGACCACCAAUAACAUGUCAAUUGAACAAAGACUCUUCGGACUUAGCAUUAAGAAAUAGUUGAAAAGUCCAACGCUUCCUCAUCAUCUAAUUAAAAUUUAUAAUCAUAUUUUCUGUAAUUAAAAUUCUUGCCAAGAAGAAGAAGAAUUGGUUUCUACUAUAAUCAUGCAUAUAGUGUCAUAUAUAAUAAUCUGACGGUGUUUUCAAUCAAAGUGUCAUCCAACUAUAUAUAUAUAUAUAUAUAUAUAUAUAUAUAUAUCAUAUUAAAGUAAUAAGCUAAUGAAAUUUACAUAUAAUUUAUUUAAAUUUAAAUAAUAUGAAAUAUUAAACACUAAUUUUUAUUUUUUAAUAAAUAUUGUAUUAUAAUUUUAUAUAUUUAUUUAAUUAUUACCGGGUUAAACGGUUCAACCACUGACUCAUCGAUUAAACCACUAACCUAAUGACUCAAUAACUUUAUUAGAUCGAUUGCUGGUUCGAUUUUGAUAACUAUGACUGAGGUGAAUGUUUUACCUUAUUUUAUCAGGUACAGGUUAAAAGUUACCCUUUUAGCCUGACAGAAAAAAGUAAAGCAUUUACCUCUAACUUCUGAUACAGAUAAGUGUCUAAAUGUUUAGUAUAAUCAUCAGAAAGAUUUUUAAAUAUAUUUGAAAUACUGGAGUUCUAAUAAUCUUAACUAUUAAUUUUAAUUAAUGUAUAUUAUAUAUAUUUUUAUAAUUAAAAUUAAUGGUUAAAAUUAUUAGAAUACAGAUAUACUUAGUACAUUUAAAAUUCUUUCCAACCAUUAAACUAUUGAUAUAUUAUUUAACGGUCAAGAAUAAAAAUAUUAAUCACAAUUUUGUCCUGUUUUAGACAAAUGAAUCUAUAGAAGAGUUCAUUCAUUCAGUUGGGAUCCCAUUAUUUGCAGUUUGGGCUAGUCUAUUGGAAUAGACCCUAAUCAAGAAAAAAAAGAAGGCAAAGUUGUGAAAUGUUUUAUGUCUAAAUCUGAAAUAAAUAAUUAAAAUUAUUUAUAGUAAUAUAAUAUUUUUUAUAAAUUAUUACAUAUAUAUCUUUAUAUAUAGUGACUAAUUGGUAACAGAAUUUUUUUUAUAUACCUAACAUUAUUUUUUAUCUAUAAAGUAAAAUUAUUUAACACCGUAUUUAUUAUAGAUAGAAGUAGUGGGAACAAUUAUUAUUAUUAUUAUUAUUAUUAUUAUUAUUAUUAUUAUUAUUAUUAUUAUUAUUAUUAUUAUUAUUAUAUUUUCUUGGCCUAUUAAUAAAAGGAAUCAUAACAGAAAAACAAAAAACAAAAAUUACGCAUACCGAAAAUUAAAAAGAAACAAAAUCUUAGAUUUUUUGAAUCAUUUUGGUUUUUAUAAAUCAAAAUAUAGUUUUAAUUCAAUUCAAUUAAAAAAUUAUUUAUCUUAAUUUCUAUCGUUACCUUUUUUUUAUGGAUCAUUACCUAUUUCAUUUAAAAGGAAUAGUAAUAUUUCUUUUAUCGAGUUCAAUUUUGAUACACUAACAAUGUAAAAUAUUUUACACAGUCGUACAAUCACAUCUGUUCUUUUAGAUGACCAUUCACGUGAUCAAUAUUAAAAAUAGUUAUUUCUACUGAUGUAACACUACGUAAUUGUAUAUACGUGUAAAACUACCUUAUCACCAUUAAAUUCUUCAUUUACCAUGUCAAACUAAUAAUAAGUAAUAAGAAGACAAGAAUGAAAACUGAAAAAUACAGCUCUCACAUGAGAAACUGCAAAUAUAUGUUGAACCUAAUGGAUCUAGAGGCUUCUUUUUCAUUUCAAAACAUAGGCCUUGGAUACUUGUAGCAUAUGACCUUCUAAAAUAAUUUAUUAUGGGUUGUUAACAAUAGAAGGCCCAAUAACCUUUCUAAAAAAUUUUAUGCUAUAUUUUUUAUUGGCCCAAUAUCCAAUACAAAUUUUUGUUAUUUUCGAAAUAAAACUCAUGUGGUAGAACAAAGAACUUCUCCCUAAACCCAUAAACAAGUUCUCCGGUAAUAAAGCAAGGAAUUUUUUUGCCACACCACCAAAAUUUGUCACGCGUACAGCACUGAAUCCUGCCAUGUGCAAGUUAAAACUCACCCAUGUUUUAUGAUAAGAAAUAAAAAAAUGAAGAACCAAAGGAAUAAUAAUACUCAUUUUUCUUGAUAAUACAAUUUCAGUUUUGAUCUUUUGACAGCUAGUGCCUUAAUGAAUGUUAAUGGAAAUCUUUUAAUAGAUUUAUUCAAUAUAUUGAAAGCUUAGAGAGGUUCGGUGAAAUAGACAUGUCUGUGAAGAUGCGGACUACCUCCACCUGGACAGAAAGACCCUAUGAAGCUUCACUGUUUCCUGGGAUUGGCUUUGGGCUUUUCCUGCGCAGCUUAGGUGGAAGGCGAAGAAGGCCUCCUUCCGGGGGGGCCCGAGCCAUCAGUGAGAUACCACUCUGGAAGAGCUAGAAUUCUAACCUUGUGCCAGGACCUACGGGCCAAGGGACAGUCUCAGGUAGACAGUUUCUAUGGGGCGUAAGCCUCCCAAAAGGUAACGGAGGCGUGCAAAGGUUUCCUCGGGCCAGACGGAGAUUGGCCCUCGAGUGCAAAGGCAGAAGGGAGCUUGACUGCAAGACCCACCCGUCGAGCAGAGAUGAAAGUCGGCCUUAGUGAUCCGACGGUGCCGAGUGGAAGGGCCGUCGCUCAACGGAUAAAAGUUACUCUAGGAAUAACAGGCUGAUCUUCCCCAAGAGCUCACAUCGACGGAAAGGUUUGGCACCUCGAUGUCGGCUCUUCGCCACCUAGGGCUGUAGUAUGUUCCAAGGGUUGGGCUGUUCGCCCAUUAAAGUGGUACGUGAGCUGGGUUCAGAACGUCGUGAGACAGUUCGGUCCAUAUCCGGUGUGGGCGUUAGAGCAUUGAGAGGAUCCACCAUGCAUCAAUGCUCCAUUAUGAAAGCAUGUCAGAAGGAUACCUUCUGAUCAAUUGCUUGUAUCUUUCCUAAGCUUCAUAGAGGGAUUCACCUUCUUUCUGUCUGAAGGUUUGGACGUCCACUCUAAGCUUUCUCAGCUUUUGAGGUGGAAAGAACUUAGCCAAGAAAGUAGUGACCAACUUAUCCCAAGAGUUCAGGCUUUCUCUAGGUUGUGAGUCCAACCAUGUUCUAGCUCUGUCUCUUAUAGCAAAGGGGAAAAGCAUAAGCCUGUAAACCUCGGGAUCAAAUACAUUGGUCUUAACAGU
Molecule: ribosomal RNA, 3239 nt
Filed under: Arachis duranensis
Lineage: Eukaryota; Viridiplantae; Streptophyta; Magnoliopsida; Fabales; Fabaceae
Description: bacterial LSU rRNA
Rfam family: Bacterial large subunit ribosomal RNA (bases 2305-2910)
Source: RNAcentral